GGCAAGAUGGCCGAGCGGUCCAAGGCGCCACGUUAAGGUAUUCAAACCUUGAUCCUCUUCUCUCUGAGAAUUCCGUGGUCUCGAAAGGGGCGUGAGUUCGAAUCUCACUCUUGUCA
Molecule: non-coding RNA, 116 nt
Organism: Canariomyces notabilis
Lineage: Eukaryota; Fungi; Ascomycota; Sordariomycetes; Sordariales; Chaetomiaceae
Source: the annotation of a RefSeq genome assembly